Zootermopsis nevadensis is the source of this 370-nucleotide non-coding RNA. The record is from RefSeq and is a predicted model, not a curated record. Lineage: Eukaryota; Metazoa; Arthropoda; Insecta; Blattodea; Termopsidae.
GAAAUAAUGUUUUAGCAGCUGUCAAGACAAAAUUCCACAAAAAUUGGGAUCGAACCCGGGGAAAUCGUGAAUUGUAGUUCGUCCUCUGGAUGUCCGUCUUCUGGGUGAGAACCAGCCGUUGAGUGCAGCCAGCGAAUACGAGGUGGCAUGCCAGUCGUCGGGCUCGCGACCUCCUGCCAACAUAUCCUGGUGGAAGGCAGGGCUGUUGCUCGAACACACCCGAGAAAAGACAAGCCCGGACGGAAAUGUUAGUACCAGCACACUGAGUUUCUCCCCUCAAGUGAAAGAUUCUGGGAAGACCCUGACGUGCCGUGCUGAGAACAGACACAUCAGUGGCAGCGCCCAGUAAGACACGUGGACUUUGAAUGUU